GUGGGUAUAGCUCAGUGGAAGAGUGCAUGCUUAGCAUGCAUGAGGUUCUGGGUUCAAUCCCCAGUGCCUCCA
This 72-nucleotide transfer RNA is filed under the name Camelus bactrianus (Bactrian camel). It matches the Rfam family "tRNA". Rfam says of the family: Transfer RNA (tRNA) molecules are approximately 80 nucleotides in length. The record is from Rfam by way of RNAcentral. Lineage: Eukaryota; Metazoa; Chordata; Mammalia; Artiodactyla; Camelidae. RNAcentral also lists the same sequence under 1 other name.